GAUGAACGCUGGCGGCGUGCCUAAUACAUGCAAGUCGAGCGAACGGACGAGAAGCUUGCUUCUCUGAUGUUAGCGGCGGACGGGUGAGUAACACGUGGAUAACCUACCUAUAAGACUGGGAUAACUUCGGGAAACCGGAGCUAAUACCGGAUAAUAUUUUGAACCGCAUGGUUCAAAAGUGAAAGACGGUCUUGCUGUCACUUAUAGAUGGAUCCGCGCUGCAUUAGCUAGUUGGUAAGGUAACGGCUUACCAAGGCAACGAUGCAUAGCCGACCUGAGAGGGUGAUCGGCCACACUGGAACUGAGACACGGUCCAGACUCCUACGGGAGGCAGCAGUAGGGAAUCUUCCGCAAUGGGCGAAAGCCUGACGCAGCAACGCCGCGUGAGUGAUGAAGGUCUUCGGAUCGUAAAACUCUGUUAUUAGGGAAGAACAUAUGUGUAAGUAACUGUGCACAUCUUGACGGUACCUAAUCAGAAAGCCACGGCUAACUACGUG
Molecule: ribosomal RNA, 497 nt
Filed under: uncultured bacterium
Lineage: Bacteria
Description: partial 16S ribosomal RNA
Rfam family: Bacterial small subunit ribosomal RNA
Source: RNAcentral